UACGUAGGGUGCAAGCGUUGUCCGGAAUUAUUGGGCGUAAAGAGCUCGUAGGCGGUUCGUCGCGUCGGCUGUGAAAACCCGGAGCUCAACUCCGGGCCUGCAGUCGAUACGGGCGGACUUGAGUGUUGCAGGGGAGACUGGAAUUCCUGGUGUAGCGGUGGAAUGCGUAGAGAUCCGGAAGAACACCGGUGGCGAAGGCGGCCUGCUGGGAUCUUGCUGACGCUGAGGCGCGACAGCGUGGGGAGCAAACAGG
RNAcentral lists this ribosomal RNA (253 nucleotides) under uncultured bacterium. Its description in RNAcentral is "partial 16S ribosomal RNA". It matches the Rfam family "Bacterial small subunit ribosomal RNA", at positions 524 to 776 of the family's 1533-position model. The record is from RNAcentral.